Molecule: ribosomal RNA, 744 nt
Filed under: Archaeoteleia onamata
Lineage: Eukaryota; Metazoa; Arthropoda; Insecta; Hymenoptera; Scelionidae
Description: eukaryotic LSU rRNA
Rfam family: Eukaryotic large subunit ribosomal RNA
Source: RNAcentral
AGAUCGAUUGGGGAGAUUCAUCGUCAGCGGCGUUGGCUUUCGUGUGGUUUGCGAUGUUUGCGGUCGUCCUUUGUGAUUUUCCGCCGACACGCUUCCGCUGCGGUAUGUCCGGCGACGUCGGCGUGCACUUCUCCCCUAGUAGAACGUCGCGACCCGCUGGGUGUCGGUCUACGAGCUGGAAUGUUUGACUGUACCGUCGCCUUGGCGCACGGCGGCAGGCAUCCGGUUAUCACCGACCGACUGCCCGGCGGUACACGCACGGUAUCGAGCCGCACACGAACUGCGUUCAGGCCCGUCGCAAGCUCGACCAUUAGCGUUAUCCGGAGGUGCGGACCUAGCGCCGUCCCCGGGCCUGGUCAGCUGUUGGCAGACGGUGUUCUCGAACAGGCCCAUUAGAAUAAUUAUGAUACCGGUCGGCGACGCUUUUGCUUUGGGUACUUUCAGGACCCGUCUUGAAACACGGACCAAGGAGUCUAACAUGUGCGCGAGUCAUUGGGACUGGAAAGCCUAAAGGCGCAUUGAAAGAGAAGGUCGGCCUCGCGUCGACCGAGGGAGGAUGAGCCGCGUCACGAUGCGGCUUCGCACUCCCGGGGCGUCUCGCACUCAUUGCGAGUUGAGGCGCACCCAGAGCGUACACGUUGGGACCCGAAAGAUGGUGAACUAUGCCUGGUCAGGACGAAGUCAGGGGAAACCCUGAUGGAGGUCCGUAGCGAUUCUGACGUGCAAAUCGAUCGUCGGAACUGG